UACUAUGAUAUAAAAAUUUUUUUAAACCAGUAUAAACAACCUUGUCAUGGAAGAGCAUAUUCUUGUUUAUUGGCAAAGCCGUCACCAUUUAAUUGGUAUCAGAUUCUGACUUGCUCAAGUAACAUUC
Molecule: non-coding RNA, 127 nt
Organism: Otolemur garnettii (small-eared galago)
Lineage: Eukaryota; Metazoa; Chordata; Mammalia; Primates; Galagidae
Source: Rfam